This 668-nucleotide ribosomal RNA is filed under the name uncultured Haplosporidia. RNAcentral's name for it is "SSU rRNA". It matches the Rfam family "Eukaryotic small subunit ribosomal RNA", at positions 1109 to 1799 of the family's 1831-position model. Lineage: Eukaryota; Endomyxa; Ascetosporea; Haplosporida. The record is from RNAcentral.
GGACUCAGGGGGAAGUAUGCUCGCAAGAGUGAAACUUAAAGGAAUUGACGGAACGGCACCACCAGAUGUGGAGCCUGCGGCUUAAUUUGAUUCAACACGGGAAAACUUACCAGGUCCAGACAUAGUAAGGAUUGACAGAUUGAAGUUCUUUCUUGAUUCUAUGCAUGGUGGUGCAUGGCCGUUCUUAGUUGGUGGAGUGAUCUGUCUGGUUAAUUCCGAUAACGAACGAGACCUCAGCCAUCUAACUAGCUGUCGCUAACUCGUUAGCGCUCGGCUCCGGCCGAGUUCAGCUUCUUAGAGGGACAAUCUGUGUUCAGCAGAUGGAGGAUUGAGGCAAUAACAGGUCAGUGAUGCCCUUAGAUGCUCUGGGCUGCACGCGCGCUACAAUGACGCACACAGCGAGUUCCCUGGCUCGGCAGAGCCGGGUAAUCUUGAAAGUGCGUCCAAGUGGGGAUAGAUGAUUGCAAUUGUUCAUCUUGAACAAGGAAUAUCUAGUAAACGCAAGUCAUCAACUUGCAUUGAUUACAUCCCUGCCGUUUGUACACACCGCCCGUCGCUUCUACCGAUUGAAUUGUGCGGUGAACUGGGUGAAUUGGAACUCGCUCCGGCGACGCUCUGAGAAGCCCCGUGAACCCUGUAAUUUAGAGGAAGGACAAGUCGUAACAAGG